Hippopotamus amphibius kiboko is the source of this 145-nucleotide small nucleolar RNA. Lineage: Eukaryota; Metazoa; Chordata; Mammalia; Artiodactyla; Hippopotamidae. The record is from RefSeq and is a predicted model, not a curated record.
AUUCACUGAUGAUAUGAUGACGAGUCAGAAAGAGCACAUCCUGCUCUUGGUCCUUGUCAGUGCCACGUUCUGUGGUGCUUAGAUGGGUUCCUUUUGCAAAAGUGUCCUCCUCAUUGAUUGAUUAGAGACAAUUUGUCUGAGAAGG